UGUUUGAAUUUCUGCCUUCUUGUUUUUAUAUUGUGUCGCGUACUUGUAUGUCUAUCGUGUUAGGUGUCUCGUCACCGUGGGAUAGAGAAAAACGUAAUUUCGGUCUCUUUGUGUGUUGUGACAUGUGGAGAGAUUGACAAUAAAGCUGACUUUGACUUUUGACUUUAGUAAACUAGCUAGGCUAGGCUAGCUGUCUUUCUGUGUUGGAAUAAAUGAAGUUUUUAAUCCAUCUUUCAAUAUACCUCUUUAUCGUCUCUCCAUCCAAGUCCAGUUAAGUCUUUGCCAGCUAAGCCAGCGAGGCUAGCUCCAGUUGCCGUUUAUCUGUAAAGUCUUCUAACGCAAGGCUUACUUUGUAUUCACGGGGCAAACUGUCCUCGUAUAAGCUGUUCAAAAUAAUUUUGUUAGCUUGAUAUCCAAAAUGCUUUCAACGACUUACGUGCGCUAGCUAGGUUAGGCUAGUUAUGUGUGUGCUGUGUUGGAAUUCAUGAAGUAUCUGUCAAUCUCUCUGCCCAUCUCUGUCAAACUUUCUAGUAUCAGUUUGUCUGUCAUCCAUUCAUCGAACGUUGAUUUAUCCUUGGUGCACAGCCACAUGCUAACGUAAAGGCCCUCAAUGCGUUUGGAGCCAAAUGUCAGCAAGAUCACCUGUCGUGGUGGCCAUGUUUUCUAGGCCGUGUGAAUGCUCAUGCUAAAGCUACAACGUCAUGUUGCCUGUCCGUCAGCUCCCGGCGGGCCUCGUUUGCGCUUCUGCCGCCCAUCUGAACCCGAGCUGAACCGAGCAGGCAGCUUAUGGAAGGGCCUGUGAGCCAAUCGCACGGCGGGGAACACUGGCAGUAGGCGGUAGUCCGCAGUCACCUUGCCGGAAGCUCUCUGCAUGGCGCUUUAAUGAAGGCGGAGGGGGAGAGAGCGUGUCCGGAGGUGUUGUUGAUGAGGAGUAUGAUGAUGUCACGUCGGGCUGGCGCGAGAGGCAGCAGAUCGCUUCUGACUCGGUCAGCAGAUGUUUGGAAAUGGCGCUAAUGUGAGCACGCUGCCGCCUCGACGGGCGGCGGGGGAAACUGAUUGUGAGCAGAACUGAAAUACAAACAAGAUUAUUUUUAGCCCCUUGUCGCUGGCCAAUGAAAAGCAAAUCAUGUGGACGUUUAUACAGUAAAGCAGCACGUUUUAACCACCGGCCUUUUUGAAAAUUCAAACCCUGAAGAAAUUUGAGACGUAUGUUUAGCAGGAAUAGAUCCACAAAAAUGUCUCAAGAAGUGAUUCCUAAAAAAAGGGCGUACAACCAUUUGGGUCGUGUUGUACUGUUAAAAAGGGCAACACGGGUGAAAGGUGGUGACCCAUGUCACCCUCCGAUUGACCGGCCAGGCUUCCGAUGGUGCCAAGCUAAAAUGUUCGCCUCUGACUGGAUUAUCCGAUCGCUAGAUGUUAGCCCCGCGUGCUAGCAUGUGGAUUAAUCCUAAAAAUAAAAGGACAUCAACAUGUUUGUCACCUUGGACAAGGAAAGGGAACAAAGAGUCACCAGGCAAAACAUGUUUGCGGUGGGAAAGGUGUGAACCGCCACAAGUUGGAUUGCUAAAUGAAAGGACUUAAAAGAUUAACAUGUAUUAAUGAUGGCAACAUUUUUAAAAAAUGAUUCUAAUCAUGUUUGACCUUGAGUAAAAUGUAAACAAAACACUACUCGCCUCAGAAUUAUUUUCCAAUAACCUUAAAAAUUUACAUUUCUUUAAAAUAUAUAUCAAAUACAAUCUUGGAUCAUUCUUUUGGAGGUUACAAGCCACCGUUGGAACAAUUAAAUAUUAAUUACUAUACAAAGUAUUUCUUUCAAAUAAAUGUUUACAUCCAUCAUAACUAUUAUUUGGUAUUUUUAUACAAACUGAAUGAAUGAUUACAAUUUUAAACUAUUCUCAGUCAUUUUUACACAUUUUGUCCUUGCACCAUCAGUAAAUAAACAUGACCACCGUUAAGAAAGCUCAAACGUGACUUCAAAAACCUCCUGUACCGCUAAAACAGUUUUUGUGAUGGCCCAGGCACAGAUCGAUCUUGGCUCUGUAUUUUUGCCUUUUGUCGUAUUGACUGACCGGCAUUAUAAUAGUGAUACGGAAACAAAGGAUGACUUUGUCAUAGUCAUGUUUUCAUAACUUUCAGCUGAGAGACGUGACAUUGUAUCUUAGUGACGUGAAUGAACAAUGUGGUUUGGCAACAGGCCUGAGUGAUGUAGCAAUGUAACUUAGCGACAUAGCUUUGUGACAUUGCAACAUAGCUAAGUGAUGCAGUUAAGUUUAGCCUCGUACGUAGGGGACAAAAUCAAAGGUUCCAUCAUGAGCCUUAGCGUCAUAGCUUAGCGAUGGAACUUAGCGACACAGCAUCGUUGUGACAUAGCUUAGCUGGCUAGCUGGGUGAUGUAGCUUAGCAACGCGUCUGACUGACGUUGCGACAUUGCUAGAUUCGCAAUGUAGUGACACAUGAGCGGGUGAGUGCGAUUCCAACCCCGCCAUUUCUUCCCCAAAGUCACCCGACUUACUUUUCCACAUGUAAUGUCUUUCAUAAUCACUCCUUUUCCUGCUUUUAUGUAUUAUGCCUUCAAUAAUUGCUGCGUCUGCUGGUCAUUUUUAAUUGAGUGGGGCCUUUUAAUGAGCCCGCACGUCUUUAAGGCGUUCCAUAAUCGUUUUCAUUUUGCCCAAUGUCGCCGAUCAAUCUUAACGCACGACUCACUUUUUUGUCAUCUUAGCAAAGUACGUUUGACAUUGUUAAAUCAUUUUGACUUUUUAGUAUUAUUGUGGUAGUUGGUCAGACUUUGCAUGAAUGUGGCCGUAAAUAUAUAUAUAUAUAUAUAUAUAUAUGGUCUAAAUCCUGCCAUGUCUUUGUUGCAAGAAUCAUAUUUGAUGUUUGCGUCGUAAUUGAGAUGAUGUUGAUGAUCUUGUUUGUCGGCCAAAGGAGAUUCCGCCACCGCGCAGGAUUAGCGGGAAGUUUGGUGGCUUAGCAGGAAAAAAAGCUUGAGGAAGGAACAAAAACAUUAAAAUCAGUCAUGUUAAAAUUGGAUUGAAACAAGAGGAUCGCGUUUGUUUCUUUGUUUGACAAGGACCUGAGUUAAUAAUGUCACGUGGAGAUCACAAACAACUUGUAAACAGUUCAGAUGGAUGGAACAACAAUCUGGAGGGGCACAAAAUAGUUUGACUUUUAAACAAUAGAUCAAAAGAAAUGAUCGUAAUGGUUCUUUUGAUAUUGAUAUUGACAUGACUUACUAUUUCAAGAGUGUCAUAUUUUCAUGACGUAAAAUUAUUUUGUUCUUAUGAGACCAAAGAUGUAAGAGACUUUUGACAUAAUCCCUUUAUUUUUUGUAAUUACUCUAAAGCUAUUUAAUAAGAAAAAAAAACCUUUUCCCUCAAUUCAGCAGUCAUGCCCCGUACUUGCCAAAUGAAGAGACAUGAUUCAAGUGUUCAAUGUUAAUAAUAGCCCGCAGUCAACAAUAAACUUGUUUCAUAAUGACAACCUCAAGCAGCUCGAAGCGAGUCAUUUGGUUGCGAAAAUGUUUGCGCUGACACGCUUUGGGCUAAAACAAGUCUCCCUUAAAAGACAUCAUUAAAAAUACGCAUACUUUUUUUUCAGCAUGCCUCAAGGAGACAAGCUUCUGUCCAUCAAAAUCGAAAAAAAAAAAGACUCAUUCUGUAAUUAUGAGCAGUCAGCAGAUGAUUAGAUUGACACUGUACCUGAUCAUCAAGCGGCGUGACAACAAUGAAGAAAAAGUGACGGUUGAUGGUUGCAGACUAUUGAAAAGACUUUUUUAAACAGUGCAAAAUAUCCAAAGUCAAAUGUAAAAAUGCUUGCCAAACAUGCCUGGCGUAAAAAAAAAUUAAAACUUUGGAUGAAAACGACGACUCUGGAGUUGAUCUCAAGUGUCGUCACGUUCGCUCAUAAAUAUUCACCUGAUGCUCCCAGUCGGACAAACUUUGGAAUGGCGGCUACAGUUGCACGCAUCAUUUUGGAGGAGGGCGACGUACCAGGGGCGAAAUUACAACACGAUUUUAUCGCAGAACAUAGUGUGGAUCAACCCAAACGUUGGCCGACAUGUUGAGGCCCCAAAGUCAGCGGGAAGAAAGCCGUUUUCGUCGAAAGUUGGAUUUAGCGUUUGGAAUGCUUUGGCACGCACGCGUGUACCACAGCGUCCAUUUUUUAUGCCAACCCAUGAAAAAUGAACAUUUCCUUUCGGCGUGAGGAAGAUGCGUCGAGACGCCCUCGUCUUCCUCACUUCAUCGUCAUGGCGGCGGCCCUGAUCUUCGCCCCGCCGUGGGGCGCCGCCGUUGACAUUGAGAGCGUGCGACAAGGGCCGCGCCCGGGCUGGACGGCGCCCCCUGCAAGAUGAACUCUCAUUUGCGCAGCAGCUGUGCCGAGCUGAGAGCAUCAAAUAUUGAGGGAAACAGCUGCCCGCCAUCCGCCGCCGCCGCCGCCAUUAACACCCCUUUCUCCCCCUCCACCGCUAUGCUUUGCUCCUGCCACAAAAAAAACACACCGCUGUUUCUCACUGCGCGGCUUUUGAAAACCCCGCCGGCAUCUUGGCUCCGCAGCUUCCGUGCAGUGCGUCAACACAAGUGCACAAACUGCUUAAAAUAAUGGCAAACGUGGACCUUGGCGAUCAGAAACAUUUGAUUGAAAUCAGGGAUUUCCCGUUUCUGUACAGACCGACUGGUACCAGUCCGUGGGUCACUUGGUACCGGGCCGCCAAGCCGGACAGAAAAAAAAAAAAAAUUGACGAUCAAUUAAUUCAGGCCAAGACACUCGUCCCGGUCACGUGACAUGUUUCCCCAGUCGAGCUCGCAAAGCUAGCAAAAAUGAGUAUAAAUUUAUUUUGGAAAAUAUUAAAAAAAAUUGGCAAUUCUCUCCCAAUUACAUCCAUCGGUUCAGGUCAAGACGCUCAUCUCGAUCACGAUCCUACGAAGCAAGCAAAUAUGAGCAAGAAACAGAUGUUUGGAAAAAAGCCCAAUGAGGAGACGGAAGAAGAAGAGGCUACGACUUCUAAGAAAAGUGACUCUGACGCGCCAAGCCCACUCUGCAUAAUAUGUGGCGACGGUAGAGAUGCACCGAUCCGACUUUUUCAGUUCCGAUACCGAUGCCGCGGCUUUGCGUAUCGGUCGAUACCCGAUACCGAUCCGAUAUUAUGGU
Molecule: long non-coding RNA, 5148 nt
Organism: Syngnathus typhle (broad-nosed pipefish)
Lineage: Eukaryota; Metazoa; Chordata; Actinopteri; Syngnathiformes; Syngnathidae
Exons: 3
Source: RefSeq, a predicted model, not a curated record